Struthio camelus australis is the source of this 1480-nucleotide non-coding RNA. NCBI's taxonomy places the organism in Eukaryota, Metazoa, Chordata, Aves, Struthioniformes, Struthionidae. The record is from RefSeq and is a predicted model, not a curated record.
AAUGCCUCCAGAAAGCUGUAAAAGAUCCUUACCCUAUUAUUUGCUGACCAUGUGCUUUUAAACUAGGAGUCUGUGCUAAGUGUGGAAAGGAAGAAGAAAUUGUAAUUCUCUAUGUUUAAUAUUAGUUACAUCAUUGAGCAAAGUUCUGGUCUGCAGAAAGCUACUGCUUUAAGGACAAAACCACUGAGUCAUGUUAUUCUACAACUGGGACUACUUUGCCCCUUCCUAAAGAGUACUUUGAUACUCCACUAAAGUCACCUGAGCUACAAGGUUUCACAUGAGAAAAGUAAGCAAGAGACUAGCAAACAAAACCCAAAACUCUCAAAUCCCAGUCUCAUGCCUCGCCCCUUGGAUUUUGCUGCCUUUCAUGUGAUUUUUACAUACAAUGUGUUAAGAAGUAUGACUUCAUAUAGACUAAGAAUCUAAAGAAAGAAAUUAGUUCUUAUUUCCCCUUAAUAGAUGUAGAACAAUGAAAAAAGGGAUAAAAUAAGUUAUUGCAUUAAAAAUACUACAUCUGUUUAUAUUUGCUCACCAGUGGUAUACAAUGAAUCGCUGAAUGAGGAAACUUUUCUAGUUUUCCUUUUAAUCACAUCCUCAUUUUUCUGUCUCAAAGAAACUCCCUUACAACACCAGGUGUCACUAUAACAAAGUGAAAAAGUUGGCUUAAAAGUUGGCUUCAUAGUCUUCACCUUGUUGGAACUUGGGGGGGCUUUCUGGGGACCCUCUGAGGAACUAGAGGGCGCUUGCUGCUGACAGGGAAGAAGAGCUAGGCAAGGACAGCUACAGGAGACCUUAAUGUCUCCUGGGAAGCUCUAGCUAGGUGGAGCUGCUGCUAACAAGCUCUGUUGGUUGCCCCUGAUCAGAGGGAGUUGGGGCCUUUGUUCCAGCUGGCCCUUGAUUAGGGUGGGUCAAGCACCCUGUGAGUCAGUGCUAGGGAGAGGCCUAUAUAAGAGCCAGGCCCAGAGCACAGCUCCUGAAGUGCAGUGAACAGAAGCAGCAGUUUGUGCAGCAGGGUGCAAGAAGGCCCCUUUGUCUCCAGUCAUAGUAGUGUAUGCUUCCUUGGGUAUGGUUAUGACAUGCUGCAGAGUGUGUUCCCCAGUAGCUGUUGGAGUUGUUGUGUCAGAGGCUUCUACCCAGACAGACCUUCUGGCAGUGGAUGCAGCCCUGCAGGUGUCAGGCCUGGGCUGACAGUCAGCUUCCCCUGCAGAAGGUGUGCUGUGGUUGAUGAGUUGUAUUGCCAGGUCAAGGAGCUAUGGGAGGAAGUAAGCAGGCUAUGUGGCAUCUGAGAAGAUGAGCAAGAGAUAGGAUAUUCUCAGAGACCCUACAGGUUCAGGAGUCUCACCAAUCCUCCACAGCAGUGGAGAUGCGGGUGGGCUCUGUGCCAUGUGAAACAGUAAGUCAUGAUUCCAUAGAAGAUGAAGGCUGGAAACUGGUCACUUCUUGUAUGAGGAGAAAGGCUCUUGCUCUUCCUGAAGACUUG